GAUGAACGCUGGCGGCGUGCCUAAUACAUGCAAGUCGAGCGAACAGACGAGGAGCUUGCUCCUCUGACGUUAGCGGCGGACGGGUGAGUAACACGUGGAUAACCUACCUAUAAGACUGGGAUAACUUCGGGAAACCGGAGCUAAUACCGGAUAAUAUAUUGAACCGCAUGGUUCAAUAGUGAAAGACGGUUUUGCUGUCACUUAUAGAUGGAUCCGCGCCGCAUUAGCUAGUUGGUAAGGUAACGGCUUACCAAGGCGACGAUGCGUAGCCGACCUGAGAGAGGGGUAGGCGACACUGGAACUGGAACGCGGUCCAGACUCCUGCGGGAGGCAGCAGUAGGGAAUCUUCCGCAAUGGGCGAAAGCCUGACGGAGCAGCGGCGAGUGAGUGAUGAAGGUCUUCGGAUCGUAAAGAUCUGUUAUUAGGGAAGAACAAAUGUGGAAGUAACUAUGCACGUCUUGACGGUACCUAGUCAGAAAGCAACGGCUAACUACGUG
RNAcentral lists this ribosomal RNA (497 nucleotides) under uncultured bacterium. RNAcentral describes it as "partial 16S ribosomal RNA". It matches the Rfam family "Bacterial small subunit ribosomal RNA", at positions 28 to 507 of the family's 1533-position model. The record is from RNAcentral.